Molecule: ribosomal RNA, 441 nt
Filed under: uncultured bacterium
Lineage: Bacteria
Description: partial 16S ribosomal RNA
Rfam family: Bacterial small subunit ribosomal RNA
Source: RNAcentral
CCUACGGGUGGCAGCAGUGGGGAAUAUUGCGCAAUGGGGGAAACCCUGACGCAGCAACGCCGCGUGAGUGAAGACGUAUCUCGGUAUGUAAAGCUCUAUCAGCGGGGAAGAAGGAAGACGGUACCCGACUUAUAAGCACCGGCUAACUACGUGCCAGCAGCCGCGGUAAUACGUAGGGGGCGAGCGUUAACCGGAUUUACUGGGUGAAAAGGGAGCGUAGACGGCGUCGCAAGUCUGAAGUGAAAGCCCGUGGCUCAACCGCGGAACCGCUUUGGAAACUGGGUGGCUGGAGUGCUGGAGAGGUAAGCGGAAUUCGUGGUGUAGCGGUGAAAUGCGUAGAUAUCAGGAGGAACACCGGUGGCGAAGGCGGCUUACUGGACAAUGACUGACGUUGAGGCUCGAAAGCGUGGGGAGCGAACAGGAUUAGAUACCCUUGUAGUC